This is a long non-coding RNA of Nyctereutes procyonoides (raccoon dog), 909 nucleotides long. RefSeq lists it as uncharacterized. The record is from RefSeq and is a predicted model, not a curated record. NCBI's taxonomy places the organism in Eukaryota, Metazoa, Chordata, Mammalia, Carnivora, Canidae. The transcript has 4 exons.
GCAAACAAGCAUCAUGGCGGCGGCCGCCGUCCCCCAGCCAGCGAGCACCCCGACCGCCGCCGCCGCUCCAACAUCCCGGCCGCCCAUUGGCCGCCGCCUCCGGGCGCGACCAUUCGCUGCGCGGCGGGUGGCGACGGAAGGCGAGCAGAGAUCACUGGGGAUGGUGCUUGCUUCGGGGCACGUUCCUGACAGGUGCUGAGACCCCGUGCUGGAGCCACACUGUACAGAGGAGUCCGGCCCCACCCUGGCCCUACAGGUUAUUCUAGAUGUCCUACUUGGCAACCCAACGCUCCAUGAGGAAGGAAGAAGAAGAAGCUGGCAGACCUUCUGAGGAAUAUCAUGUUCUCUGUAGUCUAUUGGUCAAAGCAGUCACAAGCCCAAGCCAGAUUCAGGAAGAGAAGAUAUAAGGACCACACUGAAGCAGAAUGGAUGCCAGCUCCUGCCAGACUCCAAAGACAUCCUGGGCCUGCCUCAUUUUCAUCCCUGAACCAAAUGCCACAUUCAGGGCAAUGUUCCAUCCUGGCCAGGAAGAUGUCACAUGCCCACUCUUGGACCUGGAUUAUCUUCAACAUCACUCAAAGCAUAUAUGAAAAGAACUGGCGGGGGGAGAGAAUCCCCCCAAAAAACUGAGGCUACCGUUUCUCGAAGAAAGGAAUAGAUGUAGAAAGGCAGAAAGAAGCCGAGGUCCAAGGCCUCUGUAUCAGCUGUACCUGCUCAGACCUCCUGCUAGUUGCUUCUCUGGGAACCAAUCCAGUCCUGGUUCAACUACUAGUACACAGUGAGGAGAAAGUGCCUUGGUGCCUCAGAAUGUGGGAGACAGGGUGGGGCUCUCCCAUUUCAGAGCUUAGAUGCUCUCCCUGAAGACUCACUGUAAAGAAGUAGUGGGAACAGGCAAAGGCUGCAAAUCCA